This 443-nucleotide ribosomal RNA is filed under the name uncultured bacterium. Its description in RNAcentral is "partial 16S ribosomal RNA". It matches the Rfam family "Bacterial small subunit ribosomal RNA", at positions 338 to 795 of the family's 1533-position model. The record is from RNAcentral.
CCUACGGGAGGCAGCAGUGGGGAAUAUUGGUCAAUGGGCGCAAGCCUGACCCAGCAACGCCGCGUGAAGGAAGAAGGCUUUCGGGUUGUAAACUUCUUUUCUCAGGGACGAAGCAAGUGACGGUACCUGAGGAAUAAGCCUCGGCGAACUACGUGCCAGCAGCCGCGGUAAUCCGGCGGUGGCAAGCGUUAUUCGGAUUUACUGGGUGUAAAGGGCGUGUAGGGGGGAACGGAAGUCAGAUGUUAAAACUACGGGCUCAACCCGUGGCCUGGCUUUGAAACUGGGUUUCUUGAGUACUGGAGAGGAAGACGGAAUGCCUAGUGUAGCGGUGAAAUGCGUAGAUAUUAGGAGGAACACCAGUGGCGAAGGCGGUAUGCCGGAGAGCAACUGACGCUCAGGCGCGAAAGCGUGGGGAGCAAACAGGAUUAGAUACCCGAGUAGUC